This is a small nuclear RNA of Mirounga angustirostris (Northern elephant seal), 142 nucleotides long. RefSeq annotates it as U4 spliceosomal RNA. The transcript has a single exon. The record is from RefSeq and is a predicted model, not a curated record. Lineage: Eukaryota; Metazoa; Chordata; Mammalia; Carnivora; Phocidae.
AGCUUUGCGCAGUGGCAGUAUCGUAGCCAAUGAGGUUUAUCCGAGGCGUGAUUAUUGCUAAUUGUCUUCAUUAUAGAAAUCUUGUGUAUCGUUCUUUGCAUUUAUCCUUAUCUUAAAAGUACUUUUGAUGCUAGUAUAAUUA